GACGUAGGGCGCGAGCGUUGUCCGGAUUUAUUGGGCGUAAAGAGCUCGUAGGCGGCUUGUCGCGUCGAAUGUGAAAUCUCAGGGCUCAACUCUGACAUUGCAUUCGAUACGGGCAGGCUCGAGUUCGGUAGGGGAGACUGGAAUUCCUGGUGUAGCGGUGAAAUGCGCAGAUAUCAGGAGGAACACCGGUGGCGAAGGCGGGUCUCUGGGCCGAUACUGACGUGAGGAGCGAAAGCGUGGGGAGCGAACAGGA
RNAcentral lists this ribosomal RNA (253 nucleotides) under uncultured bacterium. RNAcentral describes it as "partial 16S ribosomal RNA". It matches the Rfam family "Bacterial small subunit ribosomal RNA", at positions 524 to 777 of the family's 1533-position model. The record is from RNAcentral.